ACGCUCGACACCUACAGGAGGCAGCAGUGGGGAAUAUUGCACAAUGGGGGAAACCCUGAUGCAGCGACGCCGCGUGGAGGAAGAAGGUCUUCGGAUUGUAAACUCCUGUCCCAGGGGACGAUAAUGACGGUACCCUGGGAGGAAGCACCGGCUAACUACGUGCCAGCAGCCGCGGUAAUCUGAGGCGGGCUGGCAAGGC
Molecule: ribosomal RNA, 199 nt
Filed under: uncultured bacterium
Lineage: Bacteria
Description: partial 16S ribosomal RNA
Rfam family: Bacterial small subunit ribosomal RNA
Source: RNAcentral